RNAcentral lists this ribosomal RNA (374 nucleotides) under uncultured bacterium. RNAcentral's name for it is "partial 16S ribosomal RNA". It matches the Rfam family "Bacterial small subunit ribosomal RNA", at positions 338 to 729 of the family's 1533-position model. The record is from RNAcentral.
CCUACGGGUGGCAGCAGUGGGGAAUAUUGGACAAUGGGGGGAACCCUGAUCCAGCGACGCCGCGUGAGUGAAGAAGUAUUUCGGUAUGUAAAGCUCUAUCAGCAGGGAAGAAAAUGACGGUACCUGACUAAGAAGCCCCGGCCAACUACGUGCCAGCAGCCGCGGUAAUACGUAGGGGGCAAGCGUUAUCCGGAUUUACUGGGUGUAAAGGGAGAGGAGACGGUGCAGCAAGUCUGAUGUGAAAGGUCGGGGCCCAAACCCGGGACUGCAUUGGAAACUGUUGAACUGGAGUACAGGAGAGGUAAGCGGAAUUCCUGGUGUAGCGGUGAAAUGCGUAGAUAUUAGGAGGAACACCAGUGGCGAAGGCGGCUUAC